Molecule: ribosomal RNA, 840 nt
Filed under: Chromohalobacter sp. YCWA3
Lineage: Bacteria; Pseudomonadati; Pseudomonadota; Gammaproteobacteria; Oceanospirillales; Halomonadaceae
Description: bacterial SSU rRNA
Rfam family: Bacterial small subunit ribosomal RNA
Source: RNAcentral
UGGGCGAAGCCUGAUCCAGCCAUGCCGCGUGUGUGAAGAAGGCUUUCGGGUUGUAAAGCACUUUCAGCGGGGAAGAAAGCAUACCGGCCAAUACCCGGUAUGGACGACAUCACCCGCAGAAGAAGCACCGGCUAACUCCGUGCCAGCAGCCGCGGUAAUACGGAGGGUGCAAGCGUUAAUCGGAAUUACUGGGCGUAAAGGGCGCGUAGGCGGUCUGUCACGCCGGGUGUGAAAGCCCCGGGCUCAACCUGGGAAUUGCAUCCGGAACGGGCAGACUUGAGUGCAGGAGAGGAAGGUAGAAUUCCCGGUGUAGCGGUGAAAUGCGUAGAGAUCGGGAGGAAUACCAGUGGCGAAGGCGGCCUUCUGGACUGACACUGACGCUGAGGCGCGAAAGCAUGGGUAGCAAACAGGAUUAGAUACCCUGGUAGUCCAUGCCGUAAACGAUGUCGACUAGCCGUUGGGUCCCUUGAGGACUUGGUGGCGCAGUUAACGCAAUAAGUCGACCGCCUGGGGAGUACGGCCGCAAGGCUAAAACUCAAAUGAAUUGACGGGGGCCCGCACAAGCGGUGGAGCAUGUGGUUUAAUUCGAUGCAACGCGAAGAACCUUACCUACCCUUGACAUCCAGAGAAGUCGCUAGAGAUAGCUUCGUGCCUUCGGGGAACUCUGAGACAGGUGCUGCAUGGCUGUCGUCAGCUCGUGUUGUGAAAUGUUGGGUUAAGUCCCGUAACGAGCGCAACCCCUAUCCCUAUUUGCCAGCGGUUCGGGCCGGGAACUCUAGGGAGACUGCCGGUGACAACCAGGAGGAAGGUGGGGACCAGACAAGUAGUUCUUGGCCUCUA